UGAAAAUUAGUCUUCUUCCUCUCUAACCUAACUUCAGCCCCCUUUUUCAUUCUAUCUUCUUCUCUCUCAUAUGUUUGAAUAGGAUUAUUAGCUUAACUCUGAAUCUCUGAUUAAAUCUCGAGAAAAAUAGUUCCCCUUAUCUAAUGCUCUAAACUUUGAACAAUCUCAUCUCGAUUACUUUUCAGAAUCAACAUUUCUGUCAAUUGCAAUCCACUUUUCUUCAGAGAGAGGAGAGACUGAAUUAUCAGAAACUAAUUUACCAACCAUGAAGCUUUCUGGAGAAAAAAAAAAAAGAGGCUAUCUUGCUGCAUUUUGGCGCUCCUUCGCCGAGUUCAUUCUGAAAAGAAUAUUACAUGGUUGGGCGUAUAGUGGACAGUAUGAACUUGUUCAGUGGAAUGACUGCACUGGGGAGUUGGGACCGGUCGGAGAUUAAAAUGCUCAGUUUGAAUUACAAAAUCAAGGCUUCAAUAAUGGAGGUACAACAACAAACUAGAGUUUGGGGCAUGCAUAAAUUGAAUAAGUUUGCAACAUCAAACAAAUUGCACAAAAAAUUUUGUCUUUGAAAUCGGUAAGCUGGACUCUGGAGCAUCAAAGCUAAAGGCUAGACUGGAGAAUCUGUUGAAAAUUCACAAGUAACAUUUUGAAAACAAACUGCUCUCUACAGAAACCGCCCUAUUUAUGAAAAUCUUUAGAUUUUUAUUAUCAUUCCAGGCAUUACAUGGGAGAAGAGCUUGAUACCUUGAACAAAAAGGAACUUCAAAAUUCAGAACAUCAGCUUGCGCUCUUAAACACGUCAGGCCAAUGAAGGUAAUUUUCUACAGCAUUAGCUUAUCUUUUGAGUUAGCCAAGUGAUUGCCUCUUUCGCUCUUUGUAUCAAUCUGAUCAAUGAUUCGAUGGUCUAUGUCAGUUGAUUUCCUCAAGCUGAGAGGGGGGGGGGGGGUAGGGUGGCAGCCGAUGAAAUGAUCAAUUCAUUGUCAAAUUUCAUACGUUAUAUCUUAGACCUAGGUCUAGUAUCUUUAUUUUGGAUACACAUUGUGUAGUAAAUUUAAUAAUUGGUUUUUAUACUUUGUUCAUUUUAAGAGACAUUUGUCCUAAAUAAUUGGUCGUAUUUGACUUUAAUGGCUAAAACAUACUCCGUACUAAUUUUAACCGUAGAUUUGGUAGAACUUAUUUAUUGGUCCAUAAUAAGGCUAACUAAAUUGACUGAGCAUUUGUUUUGUUUCAGUAAAUACACUUAUGAAAAGAUUUAUCAUAUUUCUCCUACCUUCAUAGUGCACUGCAGGUAUAUAACUUAGAGAUGUUUAUUAGUUACAAGUUAGAACUUUGUGUUUGACUAUUAGCUAUCACGUUUACAUAUUUUGUUUUUUUUACUAGAUCACUUUACUUAAUUAUUUCCUUUUGUUUUGAAAUGCAACUACUCUAAUGCGUCCUCUGUUGCUGACAAGUAUGGUGCGAUUUUGAUGUGUUACAUGGCUCAAAUGAGUGGCCUAAUUGCUGCUGUAAAUAUAAAUCUGGUUUGUGUGGGUGUGUUAGUGAGUGUAUCUGUGGACGUAAUUGCUUGUGGCUGUUGUUGCACUCUGCUUCUGCUGCUGCUGUUGCUGUACAAUGCGGCUGUUGCUGUUGUUGCACAAUGCUGCUGUUGCUGCAUGAUGUUGUGGUUCUGCUCCUGCUGAUGGCUGCUCCUGAUGCUACUGCUGCUGCUGCUAUGCUCCAUACUAUUAUGGUUAUGCUCCCAUUGUAAUUUUUUUUUUUUUUUUUUAUGAAAGUGUAAAACAUUAGUCAUUUAUUAAUGGAAAUAUCUAAGUUUAUUGUGCAA
Chenopodium quinoa (quinoa) is the source of this 1816-nucleotide long non-coding RNA. RefSeq lists it as uncharacterized. Lineage: Eukaryota; Viridiplantae; Streptophyta; Magnoliopsida; Caryophyllales; Amaranthaceae. The record is from RefSeq and is a predicted model, not a curated record. The transcript has 3 exons.